CAAAAAUCAGCCGGGCAUGGUGGCGCACACCUGUAAUCCCAGCUACUUAGGAGGCUGAGCCAGGAGAAUCACUUGAACCCAGGAAGUGGAGGUUGUAGGCCAACAGAGUGAGACUCCAUCUCAAAAGAAAAAAAAAAAGCUAUGGAUCACAAUAAACAAAAAUACCAGCAUAAAUCCUUAUCCUUUUUUUCUUUCUGAGACAGGGUCUCACUCUGUCGCCCCAGGCUGAAGUGCAAUGGCACAACUCACUGCAGCCUUGACUGCCCUGGCUCAAGCGAUCCUCUCUCGCCUCAGCCUCCUGAGUAGCUGAGACUACAGGGAUGUACCACCAUACCCGGCUAAUUUUUUCUGUUUUUUUUGUAGAGACAGGGUUUCGUCAUGUUGCCCAGGCUGGUCUCAAACUCCUGAACUCAACCGAUCCGCCCGUCUUGGCCUCCCAGCAUGCUGGGAUUACAGGCAUGAGCCACGGCGCCUGGCCUAGCAUAAAUCCUUAAAAGCAUUUAAUGAGAAAAUAAUUUGGGGUCUAAAUACACAUUUUUCCCCCCAGACAAACGAGAUACCGAAACAGAUGUAACAACCAAAUAUAACCUUAAAACCUAAAAAUCUGGAGAAGUGAGUCAAGUUCAGCUCAUUAAGCUGACACCUAUUAAAGCGCCAUAAGAAAAACAGCCUGAAACACCAUCAAAACAGAUAAGAAAAUCAUUGUUUAUAAUAGUUAUCGAAGGUCGAGGUUUUUUUGGUUUAAUUUUGCAUUUACUUAAAACUCUGUGUUUGAUGCCAACAGGGUUCAAGUUGCACAGGAAGGUGCUUCGGCUAAACACGGAUAGUCUUCCUUGAUCUCCACUGUCUGCUGUGUGGGUUCCGCCAGCAAACCUCCCAGCGAGUGGUCACCUUCCUAUGGAGUCAUUAAACCUCUGAAUGUCAGCUGGUGGGAUUAGCCAGCAGCUUCCACACCUGAGCCCCCGUGGCAGGGACAGAGGCAUUUGGAUCAAGAUCACUAAUGAAUACAGAAUUCAUAUGCCGCUUGUCAGGGCUCCUGAGCUCAGAGUCGCACAGAUGCAACCUAAAUAAGACGGAGGACAGAACAAUCGUUGACAAAGAUUAAAAAGUUUUGGCAGUUGGGAAAAAAAGAGCACCUCAUUAUUCAAAUAUGAUAGUCUUGCUUAUUUUUUUUAUUUUUGUUCAAGUUAUUCAUGAUUCACCUCAAAUGGACAAAUGCCAUUCACCAAUAUUUAAAGACUUCUUGGUCUCAUUACUAAAUCUGAAGAGGGCUGUGCUGUCUGUACAUCAGCUAUAUGGAGAAAACAGCUCUCCUGUAAAACAGCUCUCUUGUAAAUAAUAUUUGAAAAUUUUAAGGGAAUAUAACAAUCACAAGCUAUUUAGGGUGGAGGGCAGUUUAAAAAUGAAAAAAAAAAUCUAGAAUUAAAA
Molecule: long non-coding RNA, 1428 nt
Filed under: Homo sapiens (human)
Lineage: Eukaryota; Metazoa; Chordata; Mammalia; Primates; Hominidae
Description: HSALNT0155211
Source: RNAcentral